AACUUCCAUUCCCCAGAGUUGCGAUGUUGCUAUUGUUGCUUUCGUGUUUUUCUUCUAGUACUUAACAUUUUAACUUUAAAUACAUAUAGUUCUUGAUUUAUCUGUUUUAGAAAGUAUCUGUUGUCUUGCCUCGAUGACAGCUGAGUUUACCAUACUUUUUUUUUUUUUUUUUUUUUUGAGAGGGAGUCUCACUCCAUUGCCCAGGCUAGAGUGCAGUGCCACAAUCUCGGCUCACUGCAACCUCUGCCUCCCAGGUUCAAGCAAUUCUCCUGCCUGAGCCUCCCAAGUAGCUGGGAUUACAGGUGCCCGCACCACGUCCAGCUAAUUUCUUUUAUUUUCAGUAGAGACAGGGUUUCACCAUGUUGGCCAGGCUGGUCUCGAACUCCUGACCUCAGGUGAUCCACCCACCUCGGCCUCCCGAAGUGCUGUCAUUACAGGCGUGAGCCACCACACCUGGCCAAGUUUACCAUACUUGUGCUAUCUCUACCUCUUUCUUUUAAAUGUUAGUCAUAUUUAUAAUUUUUAAAUUAUUCAGUUUAAAUUUGUACUUUUCUAUAGAUAUGUCAUGUGAUUUGUCAAAAAAUUUAAAUUUUUGACAAAAUGUCUUAUGUACUUUGUCAAAAAAUUUAAAUUUUAAAAAAAUGUAAAAUCCAAUCUCAAAAAAUGUAUUCUGAUUAUGUAAAUAUUAUAUACUAUAGUUCCAAGAAGUAUGAUAGGAUCCAUAGGAAAGGAGACACUGUCCUCUGUCACUUAACCAUGCUGGCUGCUUGAAGGAGAAGGAUUGAGAUCUAAUGGCUUAUGCUUUUAUUUCUUUUCAGUUUCCUCCUAAGCCAUACUGGGCUGCCACUGUUCUUCAUAUAUCAGGUUCAAGCUGAUGGAUCCAAGCCAAAGGACUCCAUAUUCUCCAAAGCCUAUAAGCAGAAUGCUGGUGUGGUGGGGCGGGGGGCGGUGAGGGGGGGGAAGAAGUUCCAUUGUGUCCCUACUGAAGGGACACAGAAGUACCAAAAGGGUCACUGAACUGCCAGGUACCAAGUGGUACCAGGUGCAACGAGGCUGCCAAAGGCAGAGAUGGGCCAAGCCAUCAACUUCAGCUGAGGUUGAGACAUGGCAUCCAUAAAUGCCAAACAGGACCAUACUCUAUGCAGAGAAUAAGGAUCAGAAAAUCAAGUGCAAAACGGGAAGUCUCCCUAGAACCCACAUGUGCUGAUUCAAGACACCCUUAUUCUUAAGCCACAGUGUUACCUAUUCCCUUGCCCCGAACACCCAGAUACCAUUUUGGUGAGGAACAGGAGAAAGGAAAGGGAAUAAAAUGUAAAAGGACUGUUUGAAUCAGAAGAGACUGACAUAUUGAUAUUUGUCCAGUUCCAUGGUUUCUACCCCACACCCAAUAAGAAAGAGGCUUAAGAGGAACAUUAGUUCAUGAGACUAACUGGCUGUUCAUUAAACACACAGCUGGACUACAUUUUCUAGCCUUCCUUGCAGUUAGGUGUAACCAUGUGAAUGGAUCCUGGCCAAUAAAAUUGAUCUUGGAAACCAUGUAUUGAAGAUGGUGAAGCCACAGAUGGAAGGCAACUGGAUCCAGAUUUAAAAGAGUUGCCUGCCAAUCAGGAACACCCUUUUUGAGCUUUGGGGAUGUGUUUUAGUUCUCAUAUUCCUGCAUAACAAAAUACUCCAAAUUUAGUGGAUUAAAACAACAAUUUAUUAUAAUCCCUAUAAA
Molecule: long non-coding RNA, 1717 nt
Organism: Pan troglodytes (chimpanzee)
Lineage: Eukaryota; Metazoa; Chordata; Mammalia; Primates; Hominidae
Exons: 2
Source: RefSeq, a predicted model, not a curated record